GGGGUUGUGGCUCAGCGGUAGAGCACUCACUAGGCACAUGCGAGGCCCUGGGUUCGAUCCUCAGCACCACA
This 71-nucleotide transfer RNA is filed under the name Marmota monax (woodchuck). RNAcentral's name for it is "tRNA.Ala". Lineage: Eukaryota; Metazoa; Chordata; Mammalia; Rodentia; Sciuridae. The record is from RNAcentral.